GUGAGUAGUUCAGAGUUUGAUCCUGGCUCAGGACGAACGCUGGCGGCGUGCCUAACACAUGCAAGUCGAACGGGGUAAUCCUUCGGGAUUACUUAGUGGCGAACGGGUGAGUAACGCGUGAGAAACCUGCCUUUCAGUGGGGGACAACAGUUGGAAACGACUGCUAAUACCGCAUAAUGUUAUUUGAGGGCAUCCUCGAAUAACCAAAGCUUUAUGUGCUGAAAGAUGGUCUCGCGUCUGAUUAGCUAGUUGGUGAGGUAACGGCUCACCAAGCCGACGAUCAGUAGGGGUUCUGAGAGGAAGGCCCCCCACAUUGGAACUGAGACACGGUCCAA
Molecule: ribosomal RNA, 335 nt
Filed under: uncultured bacterium
Lineage: Bacteria
Description: bacterial SSU rRNA
Rfam family: Bacterial small subunit ribosomal RNA
Source: RNAcentral